RNAcentral lists this ribosomal RNA (294 nucleotides) under uncultured bacterium. Its description in RNAcentral is "partial 16S ribosomal RNA". It matches the Rfam family "Archaeal small subunit ribosomal RNA", at positions 455 to 747 of the family's 1478-position model. The record is from RNAcentral.
GUGCCAGGCCGCCGCGGUAAUACCGGCAGCCCGAGUGAUGACCGAUCUUAUUGGGCCUAAAGCGUCCGUAGCUGGCUGCGCAAGUCCGUCGGGAAAUCCACCCGCUUAACGGGUGGGCGUCCGGCGGAAACUGCUCGGCUUGGGACCGGAGGACCCGAGGGGUACGUCCGGGGUAGGAGUGAAAUCCCGUAAUCCCGGACGGACCGCCGGUGGCGAAAGCGCCUCGGGAGGACGGAUCCGACGGUGAGGGACGAAAGCUAGGGUCUCGAACCGGAUUAGAAACCCCGGUAGUCC